Long non-coding RNA from Hemicordylus capensis (graceful crag lizard), 605 nucleotides. RefSeq lists it as uncharacterized. Lineage: Eukaryota; Metazoa; Chordata; Lepidosauria; Squamata; Cordylidae. The record is from RefSeq and is a predicted model, not a curated record. The transcript is spliced from 3 exons.
GGUGGGCUGACGGGAAGGAGGUCAGCCUCUCCUCGGGCGACAUGGUAUUUUUCUGGAGAAGCAAACCCCAUAAGCAUUAUGGCAGGCAUUUCUGUGAUGGUCAGCCUCUUCAGGCCACCACCUAUCCAUGAGCAGCAUGGGAGGAAGAGGAAGGAGAAGUGAUCACUGCAACAGGAGGUGUAUGAGACCCUGACGGCAUCAGCGGCUUUUUACCGACUUUCCGUGACAGAACCAUCAGUCAUGCCGCGGAUGGAAGGGGUCUUCAGGAAGGAGAAUCAGAGGCCGCUUUAUCGUCCACCAGCUCCCCAGAAGAGCUCGGAAGCAUCGUGCAAUUAGUUGUUGACGAGGAUUCUGUCACCGCAAAGAGAUUGACAAGGGUUCAUUGAGCCUUCAUUUGUGGCAUCAAUUAAAUGAAAGAAAUGACACUUUCGGUGCGUCUCCCUCUCCAGUUAGAGGGAAAGUGUUAACACAGUGACUGGCUGUUGCUGCACUUGUUCUGUCAGUUAUGGAUGAUUUUUAAUCCGAGGUUGUAAGAAAUUUAUGUUGUUCUGUAGGAAGCAACCCUGAGAACCUUCUGUUCAGCUAGAAAGUGGUCCUGGAUUCAA